RNAcentral lists this long non-coding RNA (715 nucleotides) under Cyanistes caeruleus (blue tit). Its description in RNAcentral is "lncRNA (ENSCCEG00000023289.1)". Lineage: Eukaryota; Metazoa; Chordata; Aves; Passeriformes; Paridae. The record is from RNAcentral.
AAACAAAUUAUCAUGGUAAAUAUAAAACCAUUAUCUCAGGAAUGGACAUCCCUCUAUAGAGUUGUCAGCUGUAGUAUCUGAAGGCAAAAAGCACUAUCUAUGCAGUCUCCUUGACUUCUAAGGUCCAUUCAAGAUCCUUCAGUGCCAGGACUGUGGCAGGAAGGCUUUAAUUUUUAAGAAGCUUUUCACUAAUGGAGAUGUUCUUGCUUUUUCAGGUGUCUUUGAAUACUGCAGAAACUGAGUGGCUUCUUGCUGCAGAAUAGAAUAUGGAAAGUACUGAAAGCUGUCUGUGGUGUGAUAUGGCUGAGAUCCAUGCACAAACGUACAGGAAGGAUUGCUUCUCCUGGAAGGUUGCUUUACCUAGCUCCACUGUUACUAUUCAUAUGCACAUAAGACUUGAAAAUUCUAACAACAGGAGCAUCAAGACUAUAUCUGCAGAGCUUUCUUUUCCUUCUCUUCCUGAAGACACACCAGCCCUUCAACACUGGGAGCAAUCUGUUUUGUCUUCAGUGCUGAGGAGCAGGUGGAAAAAUUCUGUGCCCAGUGUUCUGGAUUUACAGGUCCACAAAGGAUGACUAAUUUGAAGUGUUCUGGAGUUACUUUUUUUACCUGUGGUCCAGUGUGUUUGAUUUGCUAUAGAAUACACAAAUUGAAAAAAAAAAAAGUGCUUUUAAAAUACAUUAAAAGAAAAAUAAAUUAAAAAAUGACUGGAUCA